UUUCACACCAGAUGCUCCCUUUU
This 23-nucleotide microRNA is filed under the name Monodelphis domestica (gray short-tailed opossum). RNAcentral describes it as "mdo-miR-7370i-5p". The record is from miRBase by way of RNAcentral. Lineage: Eukaryota; Metazoa; Chordata; Mammalia; Didelphimorphia; Didelphidae.